RNAcentral lists this RNase P RNA (380 nucleotides) under Betaproteobacteria bacterium. RNAcentral's name for it is "RNase P RNA component class A". It matches the Rfam family "Bacterial RNase P class A". From Rfam's summary of the family: Ribonuclease P (RNase P) is a ubiquitous endoribonuclease, found in archaea, bacteria and eukarya as well as chloroplasts and mitochondria. Its best characterised activity is the generation of mature 5'-ends of tRNAs by cleaving the 5'-leader elements of precursor-tRNAs. Lineage: Bacteria; Pseudomonadati; Pseudomonadota; Betaproteobacteria. The record is from RNAcentral.
GAAGCCAGCCAGACCGUCGCUGCCCGCCUCGUCUAAUCGCGAGACGGGGAGAGGAAAGUCCGGGCUCCGCAGAGCAGGAUGCUGGGUAACGCCCAGCCGCUAUAAGUCGUUUGCGCGAGCGACGACGAAGGCGAGGAACAGGGCCACAGAGACGAGUCGCGCUUUUGCCGGUUCACACCGGCAUCGGCGCGGGUGAAACGCGGCAACCUCCAUCCGGAGCAACAUCAAGUAAGCGGACGAAAGAAACUUCAGGCUGCUCGCCUAGUCCGCGGGUAGGUGGCUCGAGCGCCGCGGCAACGCGGCGCCUAGACGAAUGACGGUCAUAGAGCGCGUCAAGGCGCGCACCGUAACAGAACCCGGCUUAUCGGCUGACUUCGACU